CUUCAGCCUGUGUUUCCCAACCCAAAUCCAAGGCCAUUUUACUUCAAGUGGAAUACACACACAGAGCAAACAUUCUCAAGUCUGUACAGAGUGGCCAAACCUGAUCCAAUUGGCUGAAGACCCACCUAAGAGGCCUGCAUGAGCGAUCCGGCCCCAAGAAGCAAGAAGGAAGCCUACCCAGUGCAUUAGAAGAAGCUGAGCCAGGGCAAGACUUCUACAUCAGGCAUGAGUUGAAGUGGAGAUGAACUGCACCCCAGCUACCUCAAGCAUCUACUGCAGAAGACCUCAAUAAUGCAUAAGAACAUCUGGAAGUACGGUAAUUUCAGCUAUCAGAGAUAAGAAUUGACACAGAAC
Camelus dromedarius (Arabian camel) is the source of this 354-nucleotide long non-coding RNA. RefSeq lists it as uncharacterized. The record is from RefSeq and is a predicted model, not a curated record. NCBI's taxonomy places the organism in Eukaryota, Metazoa, Chordata, Mammalia, Artiodactyla, Camelidae. The transcript has 3 exons.